RNAcentral lists this ribosomal RNA (485 nucleotides) under uncultured bacterium. RNAcentral describes it as "bacterial SSU rRNA". It matches the Rfam family "Bacterial small subunit ribosomal RNA", at positions 30 to 507 of the family's 1533-position model. The record is from RNAcentral.
AUUGAACGCUGGCGGCAUGCCUUACACAUGCAAGUCGAACGGCAGCACGGGAGCAAUCCUGGUGGCGAGUGGGCGAACGGGUGAGUAAUAUAUCGGAACGUGCCCAGUCGUGGGGGAUAACGUAGCGAAAGCUACGCUAAUACCGCAUACGAUCUAUGGAUGAAAGCGGGGGAUCGCAAGACCUCGCGCGAUUGGAGCGGCCGAUAUCAGAUUAGGUAGUUGGUGAGGUAAAGGCUCACCAAGCCGACGAUCUGUAGCUGGUCUGAGAGGACGACCAGCCACACUGGGACUGAGACACGGCCCAGACUCCUACGGGAGGCAGCAGUGGGGAAUUUUGGACAAUGGGCGCAAGCCUGAUCCAGCAAUGCCGCGUGCAGGAUGAAGGCCUUCGGGUUGUAAACUGCUUUUGUACGGAACGAAACGGUGAGCUCUAAUACAGUUUGCUAAUGACGGUACCGUAAGAAUAAGCACCGGCUAACUACGUG